AGGGUCUUCGGACCGCUGACGACCGGCGCACGGGUGCGUAACGCGUAUACAAUCUACCUUAUAGAGGGGGAUAGCCCGGGGAAACCCGGAUUAAUACCCCAUAGUAUUAUUGAAUAGCAUUAUUUAAUAAUUAAACAUUUAUGGCUAUAAGAUGAGUAUGCGUCCUAUUAGUUAGUUGGUAAGGUAACGGCUUACCAAGACUGCGAUAGGUAGGGGUCCUGAGAGGGAGAUCCCCCACACUGGUACUGAGACACGGACCAGACUCCUGCGGGAGGCAGCAGUGAGGAAUAUUGGACAAUGGGCGGGAGCCUGAUCCAGCCAUGCCGCGUGCAGGAAGACGGCGUUCUGCGUUGUAAACUGCUUUUAUACGGGAAGAAAAUGCCACUGCGGUGGAACUUGCCGGUACCGUAUGAAUAAGCACCGGCUAACUCCGUGCCAGCAGCCGCGGUAAUACGGAGGGUGCAAGCGUUGUCCGGAUUUAUUGGGUUUAAAGGGUGCGUAGGCGGCCUGUUAAGUCAGCGGUGAAAGUUUAUGGCUCAACCAUGAAAUUGCCGUUGAUACUGGUGGGCUUGAGUGUUGAUGGGGUACAUGGAAUUUAUGGUGUAGCGGUGAAAUGCAUAGAUACCAUAAGGAACACCGAUAGCGAAGGCAUUGUACUUAUCAACAACUGACGCUGAGGCACGAAAGCGCGGGUAGCGAACAGGAUUAGAUACCCUGGUAG
This 721-nucleotide ribosomal RNA is filed under the name uncultured Bacteroidota bacterium. Its description in RNAcentral is "bacterial SSU rRNA". It matches the Rfam family "Bacterial small subunit ribosomal RNA", at positions 73 to 793 of the family's 1533-position model. Lineage: Bacteria; Pseudomonadati; Bacteroidota. The record is from RNAcentral.